RNAcentral lists this ribosomal RNA (468 nucleotides) under uncultured bacterium. RNAcentral's name for it is "partial 16S ribosomal RNA". It matches the Rfam family "Bacterial small subunit ribosomal RNA", at positions 28 to 507 of the family's 1533-position model. The record is from RNAcentral.
GACGAACGCUGGCGGCGUGCCUAACACAUGCAAGUCGAACGGACAGGCCCUGCUUUUGUGGGGUGCUCGAUUGGCGAACGGGUGAGUAACACGUGUGUAAACUGCCCUUGACUUUGGGAUAACUUCAGGAAACUGGGGCUAAUACCGGAUAGGAGCUCCUGCUGCAUGGUGGGGGUUGGAAAGUUUCGGCGGUUGGGGAUGGACUCGGGGCUUGUCAGCUUGCUGGUGGGGUAGUGGCUUACCAAGGCUUUGACGGGUAGCCGGCCUGAGAGGGUGACCGGCCACAUUGGGACUGAGAUACGGCCCAGACUCCAACGGGAGGCAGCGGUGGAGAAUAUUACACAAUGGGCGGAAGCCUGAUGCAGCAACGCCGCGUGCGGGAUGACGGCCUUCGGGUUGUAAACCACUUUCGCCUGUGACGAAGCGUGAGUGACGGUAAUGGGUAAAGAAGCACCGGCUAACUACGUG